GGCUGGGAAGCCAGCCCUGGGGUCCAGAGCCAGAUGGAUGUGGGUUCAAAUCCCACCACAGCCA
Pan troglodytes (chimpanzee) is the source of this 64-nucleotide non-coding RNA. The record is from Rfam. Lineage: Eukaryota; Metazoa; Chordata; Mammalia; Primates; Hominidae.